Molecule: long non-coding RNA, 202 nt
Filed under: Manihot esculenta (cassava)
Lineage: Eukaryota; Viridiplantae; Streptophyta; Magnoliopsida; Malpighiales; Euphorbiaceae
Description: long non-coding RNA (MESC_LNC005900)
Source: RNAcentral
UCAGUCUGCCGGUUCAGUCCAGUAUUUGUUGAGGGUAGAUGCCUUCCAGCCGACCUUGUGGUUCUAGACUUGACGGAUUUUGAUGUCAUUCUAGGGAUGGAUUGACUAUCUACUCAUGGUGCUACCUUGGAUUGCAGAGACAAGGUAGUCAGGUUCAGAGAUCAGGAUGGGUCAGUGGUUAUCUUCAGGGGAGAUAGGAGGG